Molecule: ribosomal RNA, 253 nt
Filed under: uncultured bacterium
Lineage: Bacteria
Description: partial 16S ribosomal RNA
Rfam family: Bacterial small subunit ribosomal RNA
Source: RNAcentral
UACAGGGGUCCCAAGCGUUGUUCGGAUUUAUUGGGCGUAAAGGGUGCGUAGGCGGCGGAGUAAGUUGGGUGUGAAAUCCCGGGGCUCAACCUCGGAAUUGCAUUCAAUACUGCUUCGCUUGAGUACUGGAGAGGAGGCUGGAAUUUACGGUGUAGCAGUGAAAUGCGUAGAUAUCGUAAGGAAGGCCGGUGGCGAAAGCGAGCCUCUGGACAGUUACUGACGCUGAUGCACGAAGGCCAGGGGAGCAAACGGG